This is a non-coding RNA of Salvia hispanica, 1376 nucleotides long. The record is from RefSeq and is a predicted model, not a curated record. NCBI's taxonomy places the organism in Eukaryota, Viridiplantae, Streptophyta, Magnoliopsida, Lamiales, Lamiaceae.
UCUCCACCAUCGGUUUCUCUCCCCCAAAUCUCAUUUCUUUUUUAAUUGAAAUCCCUAAAACUCUUCUCGGCUUUCUCCGUCGCCGCUCUUCUCCGGCGAUCGCAGCACCGUCGCCGGACACUCCGUCGAGCUUUCUCUUUAUCGAACUCCCUCUUCUUUUGACAGAGACGGAACCUCUCUCCACCUCUCGCCUCCUCCAGCGAUCUCGCCGACGGGGAAGAAGGCGUCGCCUUUCCCCUCCGCCGGUUCCUCUCACUCUCGCUCGGAGAGCUCACGGCACCGCCGCCGACGUUGCUCGCCGUCCGCCGCUCGCCGAAUCUCCGUCGCUGCUGCCAGCUCCAUGCAUUAGCUCUCUGCGUCGAGCUUUCCCUCCGGCAAGCAGCACUGCUGCGUGCGCUCUCCCCGGCUCCCUCCGACGAGAUCUCCGUCGUCGCUCGACCAUUGUCGGACAGCUUCUCGAUCAGCCUAAAGCUAAGUUCUUUAACUUCCAUUAUCUAGUUAGUAUCUUGAGUUCCUCUUUGGGCAGUAGCUUUGUGGUAUUAAAGUCUCUUGAAAUUGAUUGUUGGUGAAACCUUGGUGCAUCUUUUGUCAUUGAAUUAGCUAAGGCAGCUUAUGAUCGAUUCUUAUUUUAUCUUGUGAUGAAAGAUCUUUAAAGCUCUAAGUUCUUGAGCUUAACAUGGAAAUUCUAUUCUUUGCUACUGUUGAGGCUUCUAAAUUUUCUAAGUUCCUGCCUAAUCAUGUGAUUCUAUCAUGAUGCAGAGGAUGGUGUUGGGGUGUUGAGGUAUUUACCUCACUCGGUGGAUCCUCGGUUUAUGCGGCUGUUCCUCCUUGUUGCCGCUGCCUCUCCUUGCCUUCUUGCUCCUCCCAUUUCCUUGCUGCACUCCUUGAUUUUGAGUGAAUUUGUGGUGUCUAAAGGAGAGGGGAGGGGAAGGGUAUGGGGUUGCUUAUAUAGGCCUCUUGUGUUGGAAACUUGGGGACAAAGACUCCCAUAUUUGGCUGCCAGCUCCAUCUCUUUCUUGGGAUCAUAUUUCUUUACUUAAUUUGUGCAAGUCUUGGGGGCAAAGGCUCCUAUUUUUGGGGCUGCCAGCUUGUCUCUUCCUUGUGUUUAUACAAUUGUAUACCAUUUUGGUGAUCCUUGGUGUUAUUGGUUGUCAAAUUUGGAGUCUUAUGGGAUGCCAAAUUCGAGAAGGAUGGGGAAGAGAAGAGAGUAGAGUAUAAGAUCUUGUACCGUAGAAAUGUAGCUUUGAAAGGAAUCUUACUUGUAGCUCGGAAUCUUACUUGUAGCUCCAUGUAUCCACGUUGUAUAGCAUGUGUUGUACUUUGUACUACUUUAUUCUCUUUUCCUUCUUCCAAUAAUUGUAGUUUACAAACUUAAA